This 397-nucleotide ribosomal RNA is filed under the name Poekilocerus pictus. Its description in RNAcentral is "partial 16S ribosomal RNA". The stretch from base 1 to 215 matches the Rfam family "Archaeal large subunit ribosomal RNA", at positions 1888 to 2143 of the family's 2987-position model. The record is from RNAcentral. Lineage: Eukaryota; Metazoa; Arthropoda; Insecta; Orthoptera; Pyrgomorphidae.
UCACCUGUUUAACAAAAACAUGUCUUUUUGAUAAAAAUUUAAGGUUUGACCUGCUCACUGAAUAUAGGUGAUUUGAAGAGCCGCGGUAUUUUGACCGUGCAAAGGUAGCAUAAUCAUUAGUCUUUUAAUUGGAGGCUGGAAUGAAUGGUUUGACGAAAGGAAGACUGUCUCAAAUAAUAAUUGAUAAAAUUUAACUUUUAAGUCAAAAGGCUUAAAUUUUACUUUAGGACGAGAAGACCCUAUAGAGCUUUAUAUAAAAUUUAUUGUCAUUUUUUUGAUAAUUUAUUUUGUUUAUUAAUAGAUAUAUUUUGUUGGGGUGACAUAAAGAAUAAAUAAACUCUUUAUUUUUGAUAUCAUUAAUUUAUGAAAGAUUGAUCCGUAUUUGGAUAGAGAUAUC